Molecule: ribosomal RNA, 305 nt
Filed under: uncultured bacterium
Lineage: Bacteria
Description: bacterial SSU rRNA
Rfam family: Bacterial small subunit ribosomal RNA
Source: RNAcentral
UCCUACGGGGCGCAGCAGUGGGGAAUAUUGCACAAUGGGGGAAACCCUGAUGCAGCAACGCCGCGUGAGUGAAGAAGGUUUUCGGAUUGUAAAGCUCUGUUAGCAGGGAAGAGGAAGGACGGUACCUGACUAAGAAGCCCCGGCUAACUACGUGCCAGCAGCCGCGGUAAUACGUAGGGGGCAAGCGUUAUUCGGAUUCACUGGGCGUAAAGGGAGCGCAGGCGGCAUGGCAAGUCUGAUGUGAAAACCCGGGGCCCAACCCCGGGAGUGCAUUGGAAACUGCCAGGCUGGAGUGUCGGGGGGGG